GACGAGCGCUGGCGGCGUGCUUAACACAUGCAAGUCGAACGGAAAGGCCCUGCUUUUGUGGGGUGCUCGAGUGGCGAACGGGUGAGUAACACGUGAGUAACCUGCCCUUGACUUUGGGAUAACUUCAGGAAACUGGGGCUAAUACCGGAUAGGAGCUCCUGCUGCAUGGUGGGGGUUGGAAAGUUUCGGCGGUUGGGGAUGGACUCGCGGCUUAUCAGCUUGUUGGUGGGGUAGUGGCUUACCAAGGCUUUGACGGGUAGCCGGCCUGAGAGGGUGACCGGCCACAUUGGGUCUGAGAUACGGCCCAGACUCCUACGGGAGGCAGCAGUGGGGAAUAUUGCACAAUGGGCGGAAGCCUGAUGCAGCAACGCCGCGUGCGGGAUGACGGCCUUCGGGUUGUAAACCGCUUUCGCCUGUGACGAAGCGUGAGUGACGGUAAUGGGUAAAGAAGCACCGGCUAACUACGUG
RNAcentral lists this ribosomal RNA (468 nucleotides) under uncultured bacterium. RNAcentral describes it as "partial 16S ribosomal RNA". It matches the Rfam family "Bacterial small subunit ribosomal RNA", at positions 28 to 507 of the family's 1533-position model. The record is from RNAcentral.